GUAAUAUGUUUUUUUACUUUUGACCUCAACUCAGUCGUGAUUACCCGCUGAAUUUAAGCAUAUAACUAAGCGGAGGAAAAGAAACUAACGAGGAUUUCCCUAGUAACGGCGAGUGAACAGGAAAAAGCCCAACGCUGAAUCCAAUAGACAUUUUUGUACUAGAUGGAAAUGUAGCGUAUAGGUGUAACUAUCCAUAUGCAUUCCUACACCCAAAGUCCCCUUGAGCGGGGCUACAGUCCAUAGAAGGUGCUAGACCUGUACGGGUGAGGCAAAUUAUGGUAAGUUGCACUUUGGAGUCGGGUUGUUUGAGAUUGCAGCCCAAAUCGGGUGCAAA
RNAcentral lists this ribosomal RNA (334 nucleotides) under Setaria labiatopapillosa. RNAcentral describes it as "eukaryotic LSU rRNA". It matches the Rfam family "Eukaryotic large subunit ribosomal RNA", at positions 1 to 302 of the family's 3401-position model. The record is from RNAcentral. Lineage: Eukaryota; Metazoa; Nematoda; Chromadorea; Rhabditida; Setariidae.